CAGCAGCCGCGGUAAUACGUAGGUGGCAAGCGUUGUCCGGAAUUAUUGGGCGUAAGGCGCGCGCAGGUGGUUUAAUAAGUCUGAUGUGAAAGCCCACGGCUCAACCGUGGAGGGUCAUUGGAAACUGUUAAACUUGAGUGCAGGAGAGAAAAGUGGAAUUCCUAGUGUAGCGGUGAAAUGCGUAGAGAUUAGGAGGAACACCAGUGGCGAAGGCGGCUUUUUGGCCUGUAACUGAUACUGAGGCGCGAAAGCGUGGGGAGCAAACAGGAUUAGAUACCCGUGUAGUCCCUGUCUCUUAUAC
Molecule: ribosomal RNA, 301 nt
Filed under: uncultured bacterium
Lineage: Bacteria
Description: partial 16S ribosomal RNA
Rfam family: Bacterial small subunit ribosomal RNA
Source: RNAcentral